Molecule: ribosomal RNA, 465 nt
Filed under: uncultured bacterium
Lineage: Bacteria
Description: partial 16S ribosomal RNA
Rfam family: Bacterial small subunit ribosomal RNA
Source: RNAcentral
GACGAACGCUGGCGGCGUGCUUAACACAUGCGAGUCGAACGGAAAGGCCCUGCUUGCAGGGUACUCGAGUGGCGAACGGGUGAGUAAAACGUGGGUGAUCCGCCCUGCACUUCGGGAUAAGCCUGGGAAACUGGGUCUAAUACCGGAUAUGACCUUCCAUGUAGUGUGGGGGGUGGAAAGAUUUAUCGGUGUGGGAUGAGCCCGCGGCCUAUCAGCUUGUUGGUGGGGUAAUGGCCUACCAAGGCGUCGACGGGUAGCCGGCCUGAGAGGGUGGACGGCCACAUUGGGACUGAGAUACGGCCCAGACUCCUACGGGAGGCAGCAGUGGGGAAUAUUGCACAAUGGGCGGAAGCCUGAUGCAGCGACGCCGCGUGGGGGAUGACGGCCUUCGGGUUGUAAACCUCUUUCGACAGGGACGAAGCUUCGGUGACGGUACCUGUAAAAGAAGCACCGGCUAACUACGUG